UACGUAGGGUGCGAGCGUUAAUCGGAUUUACUGGGCGUAAAGCGUGCGCAGGCGGCCCGUUAAGACAGGUGUGAAAUCCCUGGGCUCAACCUAGGAAUUGCGCUUGUGACUGGCGGGCUCGAGUACGGUAGAGGGGGGUGGAAUUCCUGGUGUAGCAGUGAAAUGCGUAGAUAUCGGGAGGAACACCAGUGGCGAAGGCGGCUCUCUGGCCAGUUACUGACGCUCAGGUGCGAAAGCGUGGGGAGCAAACAGG
RNAcentral lists this ribosomal RNA (253 nucleotides) under uncultured microorganism. RNAcentral describes it as "partial 16S ribosomal RNA". It matches the Rfam family "Bacterial small subunit ribosomal RNA", at positions 524 to 776 of the family's 1533-position model. The record is from RNAcentral.